CUAGUGGAAAAAUGAAGAAACAUUUUAUAUUUCUAAAAUUUAUACGAACUGCAUCUCAAUGGAUAUAUAUGAUAUCAGGGAAAAUGGUAUAAAACUUAAUUUACUUCUAACUACUGUUGCAACUGCGUCUGUUAUAUAUCACAAAUCAAAUGGAAUAGAAAUAAAUAUCAAUAAAGAUAUUAUAAUUAUAACAUGUUUACAUCUGGCAUCAAAAAUUGAAGAAGAGUAUAUAAAUAUCAAAGAUAUAAUUAUGGUUUGUUACAAUACUCUCUAUCUAAGGAAUAAAAAUAAAUAUUCACAAACUUUAUCUUCUGAAGAAUAUGAAAAAUACAUAGAUGCUACAGCAUUUUGUGAAUGCAUUAUAUUGAUUAAAUUAAAAUUCUGUCUCACAUUUACGCAUCCUCAUAUAUAUUUCUUCUCUUUUUUAAAAAUAUUAAUGGAUUGGAUUCCAAACAGUCAACAAUUUGAAAAUAAACUUUUAAAUGACAUUCAGAUCCAAUCUCUUCACAUAAAAGUCUAUAAAACAGCAUUAAGAUUUAUGCAGGACAUUUAUAAAUCGAAUGAAAUGGUGUCAUUAUUAUACCCUAAUGAAGAUAAAGAUAAUAAUAUUGAUCCUGCUAUGUUUGCUCUAUCCUUAAUAUAUUUAACUUUUAAAAUUUUAAACAUGGAAAAAAUCAUGAAACCAAAUAUUCUAAUCAAUACCAAUUUUAAUAAAUUAAUAUAUUAUAAACCUUGGUGGCAAUUAUUUAUUGAUAUAUCUGAACAUCAGUUACUUAUUAUAAGUGAAAAAAUUUUGGAUUUAUAUGAUUUUUGAUCCAUAAUAAUAUAAGGGAAUUAUAUGUAAAUUAUGAAAACUACAUAUUCAACAAAAAAACAUAAAUUUUUUGUUUAUUUUUCAUAAUAGAUAAA
Long non-coding RNA from Gordionus sp. m RMFG-2023, 909 nucleotides. RefSeq lists it as uncharacterized. The record is from RefSeq and is a predicted model, not a curated record. The transcript has 5 exons. Lineage: Eukaryota; Metazoa; Nematomorpha; Gordioida; Chordodea; Parachordodidae.